RNAcentral lists this ribosomal RNA (253 nucleotides) under uncultured bacterium. RNAcentral describes it as "partial 16S ribosomal RNA". It matches the Rfam family "Bacterial small subunit ribosomal RNA", at positions 524 to 776 of the family's 1533-position model. The record is from RNAcentral.
UACGUAGGGGGCAAGCGUUGUCCGGAAUCAUUGGGCGUAAAGCGCGUGUAGGCGGCUGAGUAAGUCUGCUCUGAAAGCCCGGGGCUCAACCCCGGGAGGCGGGUGGAUACUGCUCAGCUCGAGUCCGGAAGAGGAGUGUGGAAUUCCUGGUGUAGCGGUGAAAUGCGCAGAUAUCAGGAGGAACACCGGUGGCGAAGGCGGUUCUCUGGGCCUUACCUGACGCUGAGGAGCGAAAGCAUGGGGAGCAAACAGG